AAGACUAUACUUUCAGGGAUUAUUUCUGUAUUUGGUUACUAGAAGAGUUUCUCUGAAUGUGUAGAGCACUGAAAACCAUGAGGAAGAGGCAUAGUGUUCUCUUCUGAGUGUGAAGCCCACUCUUGGUGUUGCUUUACCCCAACUACCAUUUUCCAUUGAUGAUCAUUAUUCUCUUCCUUUGGUAGAGUAAGAGGGAGAAAAUGUAAUCUGAGUGGA
This 216-nucleotide small nucleolar RNA is filed under the name Microcebus murinus (gray mouse lemur). RNAcentral describes it as "Small nucleolar RNA U3 (ENSMICG00000042173.1)". It matches the Rfam family "Small nucleolar RNA U3". Rfam says of the family: Small nucleolar RNAs (snoRNAs) are involved in the processing and modification of rRNA in the nucleolus. There are two main classes of snoRNAs: the box C/D class, and the box H/ACA class. The record is from Rfam by way of RNAcentral. Lineage: Eukaryota; Metazoa; Chordata; Mammalia; Primates; Cheirogaleidae.